RNAcentral lists this ribosomal RNA (482 nucleotides) under uncultured bacterium. Its description in RNAcentral is "bacterial SSU rRNA". It matches the Rfam family "Bacterial small subunit ribosomal RNA", at positions 30 to 506 of the family's 1533-position model. The record is from RNAcentral.
UUGAGCGCUAGCGGGAUGCCUUACACAUGCAAGUCGAACGGCAGCACGGACUUCGGUCUGGUGGCGAGUGGCGAACGGGUGAGUAAUAUAUCGGAACGUGCCCAGUAGCGGGGGAUAACUACGCGAAAGCGUAGCUAAUACCGCAUACGCCCCACGGGGGAAAGCAGGGGAUCGCAAGACCUUGCACUAUUGGAGCGGCCGAUAUCGGAUUAGCUAGUUGGUGAGGUAAUGGCUCACCAAGGCGACGAUCCGUAGCUGGUUUGAGAGGACGACCAGCCACACUGGGACUGAGACACGGCCCAGACUCCUACGGGAGGCAGCAGUGGGGAAUUUUGGACAAUGGGGGAAACCCUGAUCCAGCCAUCCCGCGUGUGCGAUGAAGGCCUUCGGGUUGUAAAGCACUUUUGGCAGGAAAGAAAUGGCGUGUGUUAAUACCAUGCGCAGAUGACGGUACCUGCAGAAUAAGCACCGGCUAACUACGU